CUCAUGCUGACGGCACCCAUUCACUACAGAGGAUCCAUUGGUGAAGUGAUGUAAUGCAAAAUUUCUCCAAAUCUGCUUUAAUGAAGAAACAAACUCAUCUACAUCUUGGAUGGCCUGAGGGCUGUCAAAUCACUCAAUCUGCCCCUGGGUUUAACCUUUACCACCACCCACACAUAAGGAAAAUAUCUUCUUUUAAAAGACAUUUUCACAAGCAUUUCCAGAAGGAGAAACAAACAAAACCCAGGAAAAGGUAACUGUAAAAAUGAGAAAAUCUAAAGCUUUCUCACAACAUCACAACCAGACAAGCAUGAAGUCCCAGCGUCAGACAGCAGAGCACAAGCAGGUAAAGAGGUGGGAUGUCUUUCAGCACCUACUCAAUGAGGAACAGAUGCUGACCUUUAUCCAAGAGUCACUGUGGGGAACAGACGCGGAAACAAUGCCAAAAAUGGCCUGUCGUCAUUUUGCUAACGAGAUUUGCCAACACUCGGCACAAUCAGGGCGAUUCAUUAAGCAAAGCCUCUUUAGUGAGCAGUGCAGAAGACAUGCUGGUCACCUCAACAGGUACACUGAUGAGACUAAGGACCGGUUUGCUAAUAAUGGAGGCGUGAAAAGAUCCUCUAGAGAUUUAGAGAUGUUCCUCAUGAUUCAUUCUCCAGCACUUUCUAUACAUACUGUACUUACUUUUUCUCUACCUAAGCUUGUAUUUUUAGCAAUGCUGCUGAUUUUUCUGUGUGACAGUAGCACCGCUGUUCUCAGAACAAUGUAGCUUUUUAAGUGGAGCAUGUUUUU
Molecule: long non-coding RNA, 789 nt
Organism: Labeo rohita (rohu)
Lineage: Eukaryota; Metazoa; Chordata; Actinopteri; Cypriniformes; Cyprinidae
Exons: 3
Source: RefSeq, a predicted model, not a curated record